Papilio xuthus (Asian swallowtail) is the source of this 1533-nucleotide long non-coding RNA. RefSeq lists it as uncharacterized. The record is from RefSeq and is a predicted model, not a curated record. The transcript has 3 exons. Lineage: Eukaryota; Metazoa; Arthropoda; Insecta; Lepidoptera; Papilionidae.
UGUCAAGAUGACAUUGUUAUAAUUUGUUUUUGCUUUUUGUUUUGAUCUCAUAUUUUCCCACGCAAGAAUUCUGUCAAUCUGUAACUGUACAUAAUUAAACCACUGUUUUAAAAGUUUCAAUUACAUUAAAAAUACAUUUUUGGUCUAAGAAAUAAACAGAAGGUUAGGCACAUGGUGUUUUUUAAUUGCGAAACGAAAAAUUUAGUGGCACCUGUAGUUGUUUUAAAAUGGGCAGCAUAAAUAAAAACAACAAACCCACAACUUCUUGGUCCUUCACUGACAAGGAAAGAAAAACAUCCGGUGAUUUGUUCUACUUCAACUACACUCAUCCAAAGACAUGACAAAAUUGUACCAACCUGAAGAAUUCUGAUUGAACUUGAAAAGGUGUCAGCCCUGGAUAGGCUAAGUCUGUAAGGAUUGCUGGAGAGUCUCAUGUGUUCAGUCUGUGUACUAAAGAAAUGCCACUAUAGGCAAAUAAUCUCUUGACAUGGCCAAUAUAUGUGGUCAUCGAUACUUAGGUUGCAACUUAGAUAUAUUUGAUGUGAUUGUUAUAUGAUUACUAACAUAAUUUGUUUAUUAGUAAAUAAUUAGAAAUAAAUAAUAUUUCUUUUUAUUAUUUUCCUCUUUAAAAUAAUCAAACAAUUCAAUGUACAUCAAAUACUCCACUUCCAACAGAGACUCUGUAGCGAUAAAAGUUUGAGAACUGCUGGUCAAAAGGAUAUACAAAAGAUUAACUCCAAAAAUUAGAGAUGUCUGGUAAAGAUGUAAGAAAGAGUAGUACAUAUUUUGUCGACCGGAAUUUCGGAAACGUAUAAAAUGUGACGAGAAAAGACUUAUUUAAAGAUGUACAUAAAUCCUAUAUCAAUUUUACGUUUUUCCUUAUCAAGUGGAAGUUUUUCAUUCUGCCCAAAGUAUUAUUGUAAACCCGUUGACAGCGUUCAUCAAUCGUCAGCACAUCGGUGAUCCACUCGCGGUUCACGAGUUCAUUAGCGGCGAGAUGGUGCGACCGCACGGCGCGUCGGCCAUUAUGGGACAUCGAUAGCGCCAAAGUCGGAUAUAAAGAGACGCCUGUAGUGCCCAAUAAGAUAUGUUUGAAAGAUUUCCCCCGACAUUAAAAAGGGGUGUCCUUAAAAAUCUCCCCCAGGGCGCUGGAAAUACUAAAGCCGGCCCUGAUCGAGUACACUCCUCGCUGUCUCCAAGGCCUACCGUACCUACUGGUGUGGUUGAAAAUAAUUUUAAAUGUCCGAAAUUUAAUAGCAAAAGUUAAAUGUCAGGUCAGUCACAGCAGGCAAUUAAGGCACGAAUCAAAUAUUGAUUUGUAAACAAUCAAAAGACAAAAGCCCUUCACAAACAAAGGGCUAAUGCCAAUUAAACCGUGCCGAGGCAGUCCGCUUACACCGACUGGCUGCCUCUCCUAACAGCGUGUUAAUCGAGUUACCGAUGUUGCCCGGGAUCUAUUAUUGGACUGGAAUAUCGAGACACUCGCAAUUCCCAUCCCUAUUGGUCAUGUUCACACGAUUGUAUAUAAAAUAA